Molecule: ribosomal RNA, 34 nt
Filed under: Didymella glomerata
Lineage: Eukaryota; Fungi; Ascomycota; Dothideomycetes; Pleosporales; Didymellaceae
Description: partial 28S ribosomal RNA
Source: RNAcentral
UUUACACUCUGACCUCGGAUCAGGUAGCAAACCG